AAUGAACGCUGGCGGCAUGCCUUACACAUGCAAGUCGAACGGCAGCAUGACCUAGCUUGCUAGGUUGAUGGCGAGUGGCGAACGGGUGAGUAAUGCAUCGGAACGUGCCUUUUAGUGGGGGAUAACGUAGCGAAAGUUACGCUAAUACCGCAUAUUCUCUGAGGAGGAAAGCAGGGGACCUUCGGGCCUUGCGCUAGAAGAGCGGCCGAUGUCGGAUUAGCGAGUUGGUGAGGUAAAGGCUCACCAAGGCAACGAUCCGUAGCGGGUCUGAGAGGAUGAUCCGCCACACUGGGACUGAGACACGGCCCAGACUCCUACGGGAGGCAGCAGUGGGGAAUGUUGGACAAUGGGCGCAAGCCUGAUCCAGCCAUGCCGCGUGAGUGAAGAAGGCCUUCGGGUUGUAAAGCUCUUUCGGCUGGGAAGAAAUCGCACCCUCUAAUACAGGGUGUGGAUGACGGUACCAGCAUAAGAAGCACCGGCUAACUACGUG
RNAcentral lists this ribosomal RNA (490 nucleotides) under uncultured bacterium. RNAcentral describes it as "partial 16S ribosomal RNA". It matches the Rfam family "Bacterial small subunit ribosomal RNA", at positions 29 to 507 of the family's 1533-position model. The record is from RNAcentral.